GACUACUGGGGUAUCUAAUCCUGUUUGAUACCCACGCCUUCGUGCCUGAGCGUCAGUUGUAUUUUAGUAAGCUGCCUUCGCAAUCGGAGUUCCUUGUAAUAUCUAUGCAUUUCACCGCUACACUACAAAUUCCGCCUACUUCAUAUACACUCAAGAAAACCAGUUUCAACGGCAAUUUUACAGUUAAGCUGCAAACUUUCACCGCUGACUUAAUCCUCCGCCUGCGCACCCUUUAAACCCAAUAAAUCCGGAUAACGCUCGGAUCCUCCGUAUUACCGCGGCUGCUGGCACGGAGUUAGCCGAUCCUUAUUCGUAAGGUACUUGCAAAAAGCCACACGUGGCUCACUUUAUUCCCUUAUAAAAGAAGUUUACAACCCGUAGGGCUGUCAUCCUUCACGCGACUUGGCUGGUUCAGAGUUGCCCCCAUUGACCAAUAUUCCUCACUGCAGCCGCCCGUAGG
RNAcentral lists this ribosomal RNA (460 nucleotides) under uncultured Porphyromonadaceae bacterium. Its description in RNAcentral is "partial 16S ribosomal RNA". The record is from RNAcentral. Lineage: Bacteria; Pseudomonadati; Bacteroidota; Bacteroidia; Bacteroidales; Porphyromonadaceae.